UUGCUGUGAUGACAGUCUUAGGACACCUUUGGAUUGACCGUGAAAAAAACCAUGUUCUGAGCAAC
This is a small nucleolar RNA of Myotis lucifugus (little brown bat), 65 nucleotides long. Its record names the gene SNORD58. It matches the Rfam family "Small nucleolar RNA SNORD58". Rfam says of the family: snoRNA U58 is found in introns 1, 3 and 6 of the ribosomal protein RPL17 gene in humans. U58 is a member of the C/D class of snoRNA which contain C (UGAUGA) and D (CUGA) box motifs. The record is from Ensembl. Lineage: Eukaryota; Metazoa; Chordata; Mammalia; Chiroptera; Vespertilionidae.